UCGAGAAUCUUCCGCAAUGGACGAAAGUCUGACGGAGCGACGCCGCGUGAUUGAUGAAGUCCUUCGGGACGUAAAGAUCUUUUAUGGGGGAGGAAGUUAUUGACGUUACCCCAUGAAUAAGAGGCUCCUAACUCUGUGCCAGCAGGAGCGGUAAUACAGAGGCCUCAAGCGUUACCCGGAAUCACUGGGCGUAAAGGGUGUGUAGGCGGUUAUGUUAGUCCUUCGUAAAAGCUUUCGGGCUUAACCCGGAAAAUGCGGGGGAAACGGCAUAACUUCGAGGAUGUGAGAGGUACAGGGAACUCAUGGUGUAGGGGUGAAAUCCGUUGAUAUCAUGGGGAACACCAAAUGCGAAGGCACUGUACUGGCACAUUCCUGACGCUGAAACACGAAAGCGUGGGUAGCGAACGGGAUUAGAUACCCCCGUAGUCC
This 429-nucleotide ribosomal RNA is filed under the name uncultured bacterium. Its description in RNAcentral is "bacterial SSU rRNA". It matches the Rfam family "Bacterial small subunit ribosomal RNA", at positions 355 to 796 of the family's 1533-position model. The record is from RNAcentral.